UACGUAGGGCGCAAGCGUUAUCCGGAAUUAUUGGGCGUAAAGAGCUCGUAGGCGGUUUGUCGCGUCUGCCGUGAAAGUCCGGGGCUCAACUCCGGAUCUGCGGUGGGUACGGGCAGACUAGAGUGAUGUAGGGGAGACUGGAAUUCCUGGUGUAGCGGUGAAAUGCGUAGAUAUUAGGAGGAACACCAGUGGCGAAGGCGGCUCUCUGGCCUGUAACUGACGCUGAGGCGCGAAAGCGUGGGGAGCGAACGGG
Molecule: ribosomal RNA, 253 nt
Filed under: uncultured microorganism
Description: partial 16S ribosomal RNA
Rfam family: Bacterial small subunit ribosomal RNA
Source: RNAcentral